RNAcentral lists this unclassified non-coding RNA (345 nucleotides) under soil metagenome. Its description in RNAcentral is "partial contains 5.8S ribosomal RNA, internal transcribed spacer 2, and large subunit ribosomal RNA". The stretch from base 1 to 120 matches the Rfam family "5.8S ribosomal RNA", at positions 35 to 154 of the family's 154-position model. The record is from RNAcentral.
GAUGAAGAAGGUAGCGAAAUGCGAUACGUAAUGUGAAUUGCAGAAUUCAGUGAAUCAUCGAGUCUUUGAACGCACAUUGCGCCCCCUGGUAUUCCGGGGGGCAUGCCUGUCCGAGCGUCAUUGCUGCCCUCAAGCACGGCUUGUGUGUUGGGCCUCCGUCCUCCUCCCGGGGGACGGGCCCGAAAGGCAGCGGCGGCACCGCGUCCGGUCCUCGAGCGUAUGGGGCUUCGUCACCCGCUCUUGUAGGCCCGGCCGGCGCUUGCCGACACAUCAAUCUUUUUUCCAGGUUGACCUCGGAUCAGGUAGGGAUACCCGCUGAACUUAAGAAUAUCAAUAAGCGGAGGA